GGGUAUAGUUCAAUGGUAGAGCAGCGGUCUCCAAAACCGUAGAUGUGAGUUCGAAUCUUACUACCC
This 66-nucleotide transfer RNA is filed under the name human gut metagenome. It matches the Rfam family "tRNA". From Rfam's summary of the family: Transfer RNA (tRNA) molecules are approximately 80 nucleotides in length. The record is from RNAcentral.